This 529-nucleotide ribosomal RNA is filed under the name Bifidobacterium bifidum. Its description in RNAcentral is "bacterial SSU rRNA". It matches the Rfam family "Bacterial small subunit ribosomal RNA", at positions 158 to 699 of the family's 1533-position model. Lineage: Bacteria; Bacillati; Actinomycetota; Actinomycetes; Bifidobacteriales; Bifidobacteriaceae. The record is from RNAcentral.
GGGUGGUAAUGCCGGAUGUUCCACAUGAUCGCAUGUGAUUGUGGGAAAGAUUCUAUCGGCGUGGGAUGGGGUCGCGUCCUAUCAGCUUGUUGGUGAGGUAACGGCUCACCAAGGCUUCGACGGGUAGCCGGCCUGAGAGGGCGACCGGCCACAUUGGGACUGAGAUACGGCCCAGACUCCUACGGGAGGCAGCAGUGGGGAAUAUUGCACAAUGGGCGCAAGCCUGAUGCAGCGACGCCGCGUGAGGGAUGGAGGCCUUCGGGUUGUAAACCUCUUUUGUUUGGGAGCAAGCCUUCGGGUGAGUGUACCUUUCGAAUAAGCGCCGGCUAACUACGUGCCAGCAGCCGCGGUAAUACGUAGGGCGCAAGCGUUAUCCGGAUUUAUUGGGCGUAAAGGGCUCGUAGGCGGCUCGUCGCGUCCGGUGUGAAAGUCCAUCGCUUAACGGUGGAUCUGCGCCGGGUACGGGCGGGCUGGAGUGCGGUAGGGGAGACUGGAAUUCCCGGUGUAACGGUGGAAUGUGUAGAUAUCG